CAGUAGCCGCGGGAAUACAGAGGGUGCAAGCGUUAAUCGGAAUUACUGGGCGUAAAGCGCGCGUAGGUGGUUUGUUAAGUUGGAUGUGAAAUCCCCGGGCUCAACCUGGGAACUGCAUCCAAAACUGGCAAGCUAGAGUAUGGUAGAGGGUGGUGGAAUUUCCUGUGUAGCGGUGAAAUGCGUAGAUAUAGGAAGGAACACCAGUGGCGAAGGCGACCACCUGGACUGAUACUGACACUGAGGUGCGAAAGCGUGGGGAGCAAACAGGAUUAGAGACCCCUGUAGUCCCUGUCUCUUAUAC
RNAcentral lists this ribosomal RNA (301 nucleotides) under uncultured bacterium. Its description in RNAcentral is "partial 16S ribosomal RNA". It matches the Rfam family "Bacterial small subunit ribosomal RNA", at positions 509 to 807 of the family's 1533-position model. The record is from RNAcentral.